RNAcentral lists this ribosomal RNA (447 nucleotides) under uncultured bacterium. RNAcentral describes it as "partial 16S ribosomal RNA". It matches the Rfam family "Bacterial small subunit ribosomal RNA", at positions 29 to 523 of the family's 1533-position model. The record is from RNAcentral.
AGCGAACGCUGGCGGCAGGCUUAACACAUGCAAGUCGAACGCCCCGCAAGGGGAGUGGCAGACGGGUGAGUAACACGUGGGAACGUACCCUUUGGUUCGGAAUAACUUGGGGAAACUCAAGCUAAUACCGGAUAAGCCCUUAUGGGGAAAGGUCUACUGCCGAAGGAUCGGCCCGCGUCUGAUUAGCUAGCUGGUGAGGUAAUGGCUCACCAAGGCGACGAUCAGUAGCUGGUCUGAGAGGAUGAUCAGCCACACUGGGACUGAGACACGGCCCAGACUCCUACGGGAGGCAGCAGUGGGGAAUAUUGGACAAUGGGGGCAACCCUGAUCCAGCCAUGCCGCGUGAGUGAUGAAGGCCUUAGGGUUGUAAAGCUCUUUUACCCGGGACGAUAAUGACUGUACCGGGAGAAUAAGCCCCGGCUAACUUCGUGCCAGCCGCCGCGGUAA